RNAcentral lists this ribosomal RNA (253 nucleotides) under uncultured Eubacteriales bacterium. RNAcentral's name for it is "uncultured Clostridiales bacterium partial 16S ribosomal RNA". It matches the Rfam family "Bacterial small subunit ribosomal RNA", at positions 524 to 776 of the family's 1533-position model. The record is from RNAcentral. Lineage: Bacteria; Bacillati; Bacillota; Clostridia; Eubacteriales.
UACGGAGGAUGCGAGCGUUAUCCGGAUUCACUGGGUGUAAAGGGAGCGUAGACGGAAUUGCAAGUCUGAUGUGAAAAUCCGGGGCCCAACCCCGGAACUGCAUUGGAAACUGUAUUUCUAGAGUGUCGGAGAGGCAAGUGGAAUUCCUGGUGUAGCGGUGAAAUGCGUAGAUAUCAGGAGGAACACCAGUGGCGAAGGCGGCUUACUGGACUGUAACUGACGUUGAGGCUCGAAAGCGUGGGGAGCAAACAGG